RNAcentral lists this ribosomal RNA (253 nucleotides) under uncultured bacterium. RNAcentral describes it as "partial 16S ribosomal RNA". It matches the Rfam family "Bacterial small subunit ribosomal RNA", at positions 524 to 776 of the family's 1533-position model. The record is from RNAcentral.
UACGUAGGGAGCGAGCGUUGUCCGGAUUUACUGGGUGUAAAGGGUGCGUAGGCGGCAGGACAAGUCAGCUGUGAAAACUAUGGGCUUAACCCAUAGCCUGCAGUUGAAACUGUUCUGCUUGAGUGAAGUAGAGGUAGGUGGAAUUCCCGGUGUAGCGGUGAAAUGCGUAGAGAUCGGGAGGAACACCAGUGGCGAAGGCGGCCUACUGGGCUUUAACUGACGCUGAGGCACGAAAGCAUGGGUAGCAAACAGG